This 221-nucleotide non-coding RNA is filed under the name Ancylostoma ceylanicum. Its description in RNAcentral is "Eukaryotic small subunit ribosomal RNA". It matches the Rfam family "Eukaryotic small subunit ribosomal RNA", at positions 91 to 382 of the family's 1831-position model. The record is from Rfam by way of RNAcentral. Lineage: Eukaryota; Metazoa; Nematoda; Chromadorea; Rhabditida; Ancylostomatidae.
GAAUGGCUCAUUAGAGCAGAUGUCACUUAUUCGAAAAGUCCUUGUGGAUGACUGCUAGAAUUCUGGAGUUAAUAUACUGGUGUAGUUUGCUGUCUCUAAAUAACGCUGCAGAUCGGCGGCUUGUCCGCCGACAUUCCGAAAAAGUGUCUGCCCUAUUAACCUUGUGAUAGUUUAUUAGUCUACCAUGGUUAUUACGGGUAAUGGAGAAUAACGAUUGGGAG